RNAcentral lists this ribosomal RNA (370 nucleotides) under uncultured bacterium. RNAcentral describes it as "bacterial SSU rRNA". It matches the Rfam family "Bacterial small subunit ribosomal RNA", at positions 166 to 509 of the family's 1533-position model. The record is from RNAcentral.
AUACCGGAUACGAAGACAGCAUCGCAUGGUGGUGUUUUGUAAAGAUGGCCUCUAUUUAUAAGCUAUCGUCCGGGGGAUGGGCCUGCGUCCGAUUAGCUGGUUGGUGGGGUAACGGCCCCACCAAGGCGACGAUCGGUAGCCGGUCUGAGAGGAUGAACGGCCACAUUGGGACUGAGACACGGCCCAGACUCCUACGGGAGGCAGCAGUGGGGAAUCUUCCGCAAUGGGCGCAAGCCUGACGGAGCAACGCCGCGUGGGUGAGGAAGUCCUUCGGGACGUAAAGCCCUGUUGUUUAUGACGAACGGUUUUCCUGUGAACAAUGGGAAGGAAUGACGGUAAUAGACGAGGAAGCCACGGCUAACUACGUGCC